AAGUGGAGGGCAGGAGGGUUCAAUGCGCCUCACACCCACCCAGUCAGAAAAGGUUAAAAAGGAGCAGCAGCAGCAACAGAGAAAACUGAGAACCAACACCCUCUCCAAGAAGAAUAUAGGCUUUAAAAAAUCAUGACACCUGCAAAACACGCAAGCAGCUCUUCCUCACAGGUUCCCUCUCUGUGGACCUUUUUUUGCGGGGGAAGAUGGAAUGGAGGGCGAGGAAAGCAGACUAGCACUUAGGGGAGGCCGGCCUGUGGAUGCCUGGUUGGCGGUGAAAUGAAUGCUUUAUUCCACAAAGGAAAUGAAAAGAAAAAAUACGUGAGAAUUUGGUUUUAUUCCGUUGCAAAGAAGGCAAUCUCAUAACAUCAGUAAAUGAAUAUGCUAAGUACAAAUUUGGCUGACAAAGCAACAGCAGGCUGUGUAUUUCCAUCUCUCAUGACAAUAAAG
This 450-nucleotide long non-coding RNA is filed under the name Homo sapiens (human). Its description in RNAcentral is "HSALNT0258903". Lineage: Eukaryota; Metazoa; Chordata; Mammalia; Primates; Hominidae. The record is from RNAcentral.